RNAcentral lists this ribosomal RNA (1483 nucleotides) under uncultured Bordetella sp. RNAcentral's name for it is "partial 16S-23S ribosomal RNA intergenic spacer". It matches the Rfam family "Bacterial small subunit ribosomal RNA". Lineage: Bacteria; Pseudomonadati; Pseudomonadota; Betaproteobacteria; Burkholderiales; Alcaligenaceae. The record is from RNAcentral.
GGUUCGGAUUAUGGCUCAGAUUGAACGCUGGCGGGAUGUUUUUUACAUGCAAGUCGAACGGCAGCACGGACUUCGGUCUGGUGGCGAGUGGCGAACGGGUGAGUAGCCGUAUCGGAACGUGCCUAGUAGCGGGGGAUAACUACGCGAAAGCGUAGCCAUACCGCACACGGCCUCGGGGGAAAGCGGGGGACCUUCGGGCCUCGCACUAUUAGAGCGGCCGAUGAGCUGAGAUUAGCUAGUUGGUGGGGUAACGGCUCACCAGCGAUGAUCCGUAGCUGGUUUGAGAGGACGACCAGCCACACUGACUGAGACAAGGCUCCAGACUCUACGGGAGGCAGCAGUGGGGAAUUUUGGACAAUGGGGGAAACCCUGAUCCAGCCAUCCCGCGUGUGCGAUGAAGGCUUUCGGUUGUAAAGCACUUUUGGCAGGAGAAACGGCACGGGAUAAUACCCCGUGCAACUGACGGUACCUGCAGAAUAAGCACCGGCUAACUACGUGCCAGCAGCCGCGGUAAUACGUAGGGUGCAAGCGUUAAUCGGAAUUACUGGGCGUAAAGCGUGCGCAGGCGGUUCGGAAAGAAAGAUGUGAAAUCCCAGAGCUUAACUUGAGUUGCAUUUUUAACUACCGAGCUGAGCGUAAGCCAGAGGGAGGUGGAAUUCCGCGUGUAGCAGUGAAUGCGUAGAUAUGCGAGGAACACCGAUGGCGAAGGCAGCCUCCUGGGAUAACACUGACGUUUGCCAUGCACGAAAGCGUGGGGAGCAAACAGGAUUAGAUACCCUGGUAGUCCACGCCCUAAACGAUGUCAUCUAGCUGCUGGGGCCUUCGGGCCUUUGCAGCGCAGCUAACGCGGUGAAGUUGACCGCCUGGGGAGUACGGUCGCAAGAUUAAAAACUCAAAGGAAUUGACGGGACUCCGCACAAGCGGUGGAUGAUGUGGAUUAAUUCGAUGCAACGCGAAAACCUUACCUACCCUUGACAUGUCUGAACUGGCAGAUUUGGGAGUGCUCGUAAGAGAACCGGAACACAGGUGCUGCAUGGCUGGAGCCGUCAGCUCGUGUCGAGAUGUUGCUGUCCCGCAACGAGCGCAACCCUUGUCAUUAGUUGCUACGAAAGGGCACUCUAUCGAGACUGCCGGUGACAAACCGAGGAAGGUGGGGAUGACGUCAAGUCCUCAUGGCCUCAGGUAGGGCCACACGCUGCGCACAAUUGUCGGGACAGAGGCUACCGCCGCCAACCCGCCGAGGGGAGCCAAUCCCAGAAACCCGAUCGUAGCCCGGAUCGCAGCUCGUGGGCAAACUCGACUGCGUGAAGCUGGAAUCGCUAGCAAUCGCGGAUCAGCAUAUGCCUGCGUGAAUACGUUCCCGGGUCUUGCACACUGCCCGUCACACCAUGGGAGUGGGCUUUACCAGAAGUAGUUAGCCUGUCCGUAAGGAGGGCGAUUACCACGGUAGGAUCUAUGACCGGGGGUGAAGUCGUAACAAGGU